GCCGCUAUAGCUCAGUGGCAGAGUGCUGGUCUUGUAAACCAGCGGUCGUGAGUUCGAUCCUCACUGGCGGCU
Molecule: transfer RNA, 72 nt
Filed under: Rhipicephalus microplus (southern cattle tick)
Lineage: Eukaryota; Metazoa; Arthropoda; Arachnida; Ixodida; Ixodidae
Description: tRNA-Thr
Rfam family: tRNA
About the family: Transfer RNA (tRNA) molecules are approximately 80 nucleotides in length. Their secondary structure includes four short double-helical elements and three loops (D, anti-codon, and T loops).
Source: Rfam by way of RNAcentral